RNAcentral lists this ribosomal RNA (416 nucleotides) under Mycobacterium sp. Ri463b. RNAcentral's name for it is "bacterial SSU rRNA". It matches the Rfam family "Bacterial small subunit ribosomal RNA", at positions 77 to 510 of the family's 1533-position model. The record is from RNAcentral. Lineage: Bacteria; Bacillati; Actinomycetota; Actinomycetes; Mycobacteriales; Mycobacteriaceae.
CCUUCGGGGUACUCGAGUGGCGAACGGGUGAGUACACGUGGGUGAUCUGCCCUGCACUUUGGGAUAAGCCUGGGAAACUGGGUCUAAUACCGAAUAUGACCAUGCACUUCCUGGUGUGUGGUGGAAAGCUUUUGCGGUGUGGGAUGGGCCCGCGGCCUAUCAGCUUGUUGGUGGGGUAAUGGCCUACCAAGGCGACGACGGGUAGCCGGCCUGAGAGGGUGACCGGCCACACUGGGACUGAGAUACGGCCCAGACUCCUACGGGAGGCAGCAGUGGGGAAUAUUGCACAAUGGGCGCAAGCCUGAUGCAGCGACGCCGCGUGAGGGAUGACGGCCUUCGGGUUGUAAACCUCUUUCAGCACAGACGAAGCGCAAGUGACGGUAUGUGCAGAAGAAGGACCGGCCAACUACGUGCCA